ACGCUGGCGGCGUGCCUAAUACAUGCAAGUCGAGCGGACAGAUGGGAGCUUGCUCCCUGAUGUUAGCGGCGGACGGGUGAGUAACACGUGGGUAACCUGCCUGUAAGACUGGGAUAACUCCGGGAAACCGGGGCUAAUACCGGAUGGUUGUUUGAACCGCAUGGUUCAAACAUAAAAGGUGGCUUCGGCUACCACUUACAGAUGGACCCGCGGCGCAUUAGCUAGUUGGUGAGGUAACGGCUCACCAAGGCAACGAUGCGUAGCCGACCUGAGAGGGUGAUCGGCCACACUGGGACUGAGACACGGCCCAAACUCCUACGGGAGGCAGCAGUAGGGAAUCUUCCGCAAUGGACGAAAGUCUGACGGAGCAACGCCGCGUGAGUGAUGAAGGUUUUCGGAUCGUAAAGCUCUGUUGUUAGGGAAGAACAAGUACCGUUCGAAUAGGGCGGUACCUUGACGGUACCUAACCAGAAAGCCACGGCUAACUACGUGCCAGCAGCCGCGGUAAUACGUAGGUGGCAAGCGUUGUCCGGAUUAUUGGGCGUAAAGGGCUCGCAGGCGGUUUCUUAAGUCUGAUGUGAAAGCCCC
Molecule: ribosomal RNA, 588 nt
Filed under: Bacillus sp. Ni35
Lineage: Bacteria; Bacillati; Bacillota; Bacilli; Caryophanales; Bacillaceae
Description: bacterial SSU rRNA
Rfam family: Bacterial small subunit ribosomal RNA
Source: RNAcentral